RNAcentral lists this unclassified non-coding RNA (818 nucleotides) under Hevea brasiliensis (rubber tree). The record is from RNAcentral. Lineage: Eukaryota; Viridiplantae; Streptophyta; Magnoliopsida; Malpighiales; Euphorbiaceae.
GGCUUUGGCAAGAGUGCUUAAUUAGUCAUAUCAUCGUUUGAUUUACUUGAACACAAAACCUUAUAUCUUAAAUGCAUUUUCCCUGAAUUAUCAUUAAGCCAAAAGAGAACUGCUACAAAGUCCAAUGCUAACAAUACAACAAAAAUGAGAAGAACAUUAGAUGUUAAAAAACAUGCUGUUUAGUGAAUAAACUGCUUUAUUUUUUAAUCAUUUCCUAACACCUAGAAGUUAUUAGAUACCUUCAAUGAAAUGUUGAAAGUGCAUGAAAUUAACCUUGAAGCAAUAAAGAAAACCUCAAACUUGUACUCAAGCAUAUAGCACUUAACCAAGGUAUGAGAUUUCUCGACUUCCAAAAGAUUAUCUUUUCCCAAGUUUUGAAAGUCUAAUAAUUUCUUUGACUAUUAUUAAUUUUAAAUAUAAAGAAUUGUUCAAAUAAAAAAUAAAAAAAAGUGUAUAACGACAGUAAUACCCAUGUGUCGACAUCAGGGCAUAAUCAUGUGAUGCAAUCUUGAAAGGAAAUAGAUUUUGUCAUACUGUAAUCAGUACCUACUAAUUCUUUUCUCUUUUCCCAUCAUAAAUGGAAAAGCAAUGAUACAGAUUCGACGUGGCUACCAUAGAUGCAAAGAAUAUGAGAGGCGGAUGAAUAACACAAAGGCACAUUACGUUUCCUUUUGAAAAAAGAGCCACACAGUAUCGUAUUCUAAAGAUGAGUAGAAAACAGAAAAUCAUUGAUUCACAAAUUGCUUGGAUUGGAUGACACAAUAACAGGAACAGUAACAUCUCCAACAAAAGUAAUCAGCUUAAGUUUACUGUAAAAG